CGAGAAAGUGGUAGCAAUACCAUGAGUAAAGUGGCGCACGGGUGAGUAACACGUGACUAACCUACCCUGGAGUGGGGGAUAACUGAGGGAAACCUUAGCUAAUACCGCAUAAUACCUACGGGUCAAAGGAGCAAUUCGCUUUGGGAGGGGGUCGCGGCCGAUUAGUUAGUUGGCGGGGUAACGGCCCACCAAGACGAUGAUCGGUAUCCGGCCUGAGAGGGCGCACGGACACACUGGAACUGAAACACGGUCCAGACUCCUACGGGAGGCAGCAGUGGGGAAUUUUGCGCAAUGGGGGAAACCCUGACGCAGCAACGCCGCGUGGAGGAUGAAGUCCUUCGGGACGUAAACUCCUUUCGAUCGGGACGAUUAUGAC
RNAcentral lists this ribosomal RNA (376 nucleotides) under uncultured Acidobacteriota bacterium. RNAcentral describes it as "bacterial SSU rRNA". It matches the Rfam family "Bacterial small subunit ribosomal RNA", at positions 67 to 455 of the family's 1533-position model. Lineage: Bacteria; Pseudomonadati; Acidobacteriota. The record is from RNAcentral.